RNAcentral lists this ribosomal RNA (285 nucleotides) under uncultured bacterium. Its description in RNAcentral is "partial 16S ribosomal RNA". It matches the Rfam family "Bacterial small subunit ribosomal RNA", at positions 28 to 313 of the family's 1533-position model. The record is from RNAcentral.
GACGAACGCUGGCGGCGUGCUUAACACAUGCAAGUCGAGCGGUAAGGCCCUUUCGGGGGUACACGAGCGGCGAACGGGUGAGUAACACGUGGGUGACCUGCCCUCAGCUCUGGGAUAAGCCUGGGAAACCGGGUCUAAUACCGGAUAUGACUCCAUGACGCAUGUUGUGGGGUGGAAAGCCUUGUGCGGCUGAGGAUGGGCCCGCGGCCUAUCAGCUUGUUGGUGGGGUGANGGCCUACCAAGGCGACGGACGGGUAGCCGGCCUGAGAGGGCGACCGGCCACAC